GUGGGUGUAGUUCAAAGGUAGAGCGCCAGAUUGUGGUUCUGGAUGUUGUGGGUUCGAGUCCCAUCAUCCACCCCA
RNAcentral lists this transfer RNA (75 nucleotides) under Clostridia bacterium. RNAcentral's name for it is "tRNA-His". It matches the Rfam family "tRNA". From Rfam's summary of the family: Transfer RNA (tRNA) molecules are approximately 80 nucleotides in length. Their secondary structure includes four short double-helical elements and three loops (D, anti-codon, and T loops). Further hydrogen bonds mediate the characteristic L-shaped molecular structure. tRNAs have two regions of fundamental functional importance: the anti-codon, which is responsible for specific mRNA codon recognition, and the 3' end, to which the tRNAs corresponding amino acid is attached (by aminoacyl-tRNA synthetases). tRNAs cope with the degeneracy of the genetic code in two manners: having more than one tRNA (with a specific anti-codon) for a particular amino acid; and 'wobble' base-pairing, i.e. permitting non-standard base-pairing at the 3rd anti-codon position. RNAcentral also lists the same sequence under 1 other name. The record is from RNAcentral. Lineage: Bacteria; Bacillati; Bacillota; Clostridia.